This 204-nucleotide long non-coding RNA is filed under the name Elaeis guineensis (African oil palm). RNAcentral describes it as "long non-coding RNA (EGUI_LNC000180)". The record is from RNAcentral. Lineage: Eukaryota; Viridiplantae; Streptophyta; Magnoliopsida; Arecales; Arecaceae.
CUUGCAUCCCUCCUCCUCUUCUUUUUAGUAUCUUCUUUUCAAGGUAUAAAAAGAUGGUAUAGAGGACUAGAUAGAUGAACAAGGAAUUCACGAGGGUUCGAUGUUAACAGACCUAAAGAAGAGACCAUAAGUAAAGCACGCAAAUUGGUUUCUACGCAUCUGUAUCAUAGUCCCGUAGUAUGAUGCACACUUGGAAAGUAGCAG